CAGAUAAACAGCAAGGGAUAACAGAAGUGUAGGAUUGAUUGUGAGCUUCUCCCCCCAAACUCAGAAAAACUGCCAGGCCUAUGGUAACAUCUCCGUUUUCAGAAGCUCAGAAAAGUAAGCUGCUUGCUCAAGAAUGGACGGCUUCAAGGUGGCAGAGCUGGAAGUUUCUAACUCACUCACCUCAUACUCAGACCUGCACUGUUUUUCAAGACAGUCAAUAUUUCAGUCAGGCCAUCUACUGAUUGGAUGAGGCCCACCAGCAUUCUGAAAGGCAAGGAAUCUGAGACCUGGCUGGGAGAAGAGGACUUGCCUAAAGUUAUCCCACACAGCAAAUUAGUUGGAAAACCAGGAUAGUUGAGUAAAUAUCCUGGAGCCCAGCCAAGUAAUGAAGCCAGAAUUCAGAAAGCUGUUUUGGCUAGAUCUUGGAUUUUUACAAUAAAGGGUCUGUAAGGGAUAUUUGUGAAAAAUGUUGACACUUGACGGCUGUCCUGAUUCAUUCAGCUACCUAGGUUAUCUCUGCCUCUCUUUGACUUGUGUUUUGUCUUUUAAGAUGGCAGUCUUGCUCUUUUGCCUGGGCUGGUCUUGAACUCCUGGGCUCAAGCAGUUUUCCUGCUUUAGCCUCCUGAGUAGCUGGGGCUACAGGAGGACAUCACUGUGCCCAGCUCUCUCCGUAUCUUUGACUAGGUUAUUUUACAACCCCAUACGAUAGAAAUGAAGUUAUAGAAAACUGAUAGGAAUACAAAUAAUUAUUAUCCAUGGAAAUGCAAAUUGGAUCUAAUGGAAUGAAACUGAUUUUUUUUCCAGCAGAUAGUGACCACCUUUGUAUCCUUUUGUAAAUUCAUUUCAGCAUUCCAUAUUUGACUAAAAAUGUGUGACACUCCCAAUUUGCUUUUGAAUUCAUUGUAAUAUCUACCAAUUCC
RNAcentral lists this long non-coding RNA (920 nucleotides) under Homo sapiens (human). RNAcentral describes it as "HSALNT0065968". The record is from RNAcentral. Lineage: Eukaryota; Metazoa; Chordata; Mammalia; Primates; Hominidae.